ACUCAAAUGAAUAGACGGGGGCCCGCACAAGCGGUGGAGCAUGUGGAUUAAUUCGUCACUAACCGAAGAACCUUACCCAGGCUUGACAUCGCGUGUAAAGCUAUGAAAGUAGCUCCUCCCUUCGGGGACACAAAGACAGGUGUUGCAUGGCUGUCGUCAGCUCGUGUCGUGAGAUGUUGGGUUAAGUCCCGCAACGAGCGCAACCCUCACCGUAUGUUGCCAGCGUAAAGUCGGGAACUCUUACGGAACUGCCCGUGCAAGCGGGAGGAAGGUGGGGAUGACGUCAAGUCGGCAUGGCCCUUACGCCUGGGGCUUCACACAUGCUACAAUGGACGGCACAGAGCGCUCCGAAGCCGCGAGGUGGAGGCAAUCGCAAAAAUCCGUCCUCAGUUCGGAUUGCAGGCUGCAACUCGCCUGCAUGAAGCUGGAAUCGCUAGUAACCGCAGGUCAGCUAAACUGCGGUGAAUACGUUCCCGGGCCUUGUACACACCGCCCGU
Molecule: ribosomal RNA, 497 nt
Filed under: uncultured bacterium
Lineage: Bacteria
Description: partial 16S ribosomal RNA
Rfam family: Bacterial small subunit ribosomal RNA
Source: RNAcentral